RNAcentral lists this ribosomal RNA (254 nucleotides) under uncultured bacterium. RNAcentral's name for it is "partial 16S ribosomal RNA". It matches the Rfam family "Bacterial small subunit ribosomal RNA", at positions 526 to 779 of the family's 1533-position model. The record is from RNAcentral.
CGUAGGGGCGUAGCGUUGUCCGGAAUCAUUGGGCGUAAAGAGCGUGUAGGCGGCCCGGUAAGUCCGCUGUGAAAGUCGGGGGCUCAACCCUCGAAUGCCGGUGGAUACUGUCGGGCUAGAGUGCGGAAGAGGCGAGUGGAAUUCCCUGGUGUAGCGGUGAAAUGCGCAGAUAUCAGGAGGAACACCAAUUGCGAAGGCAGCUCGCUGGGACGUAACUGACGCUGAGACGCGAAAGCGUGGGAGCAAACAGGAUU